AUAAAGGCAGCUGGAAAGCCUGAUUGGAGUGGUAAGUCUAUUGUGACUUACUACUUGUAAGUGACCAACAACAGGGUCCUGGGCUCACUCCCUUCAACUCUGGUAUAACUUAAUGCGCCCUGUUUAUUUCUACCACGAGGGGUUUGUCCUCACUGUAACUGUGUCUGAGAAACUCUUCCCAGUUUGUUAGGUAGAUUCAAGAUGUCCUUCGUAAGGAGCAAAAGAGACUUCAGAGUCCUGGGAAAAACUGAUAUGGACAAGUCCAAGACUAGUUUCUUCAUCACAGGUUGCUUUGAGGAGAAGGUCCGUUUGGAAAUUGUGCUGGGAUGAGAUUCCAAUUGGGCAGUGACAGAAGACUUUUUGAUUAUUCUCUUGGCCCAGCUGACACAGAAUCUACUGCCUCAGUGUCUGUCUUCCAGCUCCUACCUCCACUGUCUAGAGGAGAUUUACUUGCCAAAGGUCUGAAACAGAGGCCAUGCAACCUGAGAAACACAGCACAAUGUGAUGAGCAGGGACCCUCAUGCAAUGGCAGGCUUCCGCUGGAGGUGAAUAAAAGUUUGGACAUGGUGGCCUUGACUAGGGCUUAGAUCGGAGGAUAAUUCUAUGCUCAGGAUUUAAGAAGUGAUAUCAAUCCAAGUUCUUACACAUUUCUCGGUCCUCCUACCUUACCUCAAAGCCAGCUGGACUUGGAAUGAAAAUAAAUAUUUUUUCUAUAUAACUCAUUGAAACAUACUUGCUGAGUACCUACUAUGUAAAGUAAGAAGCUUUAAAGAUCAGGUAAAAAAUGCCUCAAUAUAAAAAACAAUCUGUAUAGUGACAGGAGAGGACUGUUGAGCCUUCCUGUUAAAUCUCCCCAGAGAGGGGUAAGUGAGACAUCAAAGCACAGCCCCAUAGAGACACAGAUGCUUGUGGUGAUGGCCAGCACAAUUUCUGUAGACUGUUGCACAUCGCAAAGACUUAGGAGACCAGGACCCUGCUUCCAGGCGUGCUUGGUUUGCCCUAAAGGUAUCCUAUUGGCAUGGAAGUUGAUGGCUUGUAAAAGCUCAGAGACUGGCACUUGGACAAGAGCAAUGAGAUGAAGUGGGAAGAGUCUCCGUGGGCAAUAGAUACAAGCAUGCCAAGACUCCCCUUGAGUUGAUGGGGAGAUGUUUGCAUAUCCCUGGUGUUACGUACUUUGACUGUGCACUCUGAGGGCUUUCUUCAGGGCCCUCACCGGUGCAGAAAGCACCGGUGAAGUCAUCCAUGCCCAGGGUCCAUAGCAUGGCACCUCCCAAGUUGUUCUGCUUAAGCCGUUCGGCCUGUUUCAGGAUAGAGGAUAAUAGUCAUUUGAUUUCUUGAAGCCCAGGGUUGGGCUUUCAGACCUCCCAUGGGACUCAUUUUAUCUUGAUAUGAAAGCUCUUCACGUUGUCAUAACCAACCCAUUUGUUGCCCUGAUAGGCAUAAGGUACUUCCUGAUCAGCAUCCCAGGCCUCAGUGGCUCCAUCAUCCAAGAAGGUGCAAAUCUUUAAAAGUCACGAGAUAAUAAUCCUUUAAAUAUUGUGUCAUGCUAGAGAGAAAAACACACUCUAUUUUUUCUUCCUUUAAUAUAUGUAUCUGGGGGUGUUUUCCAGUGGCUUUUAUCUGGAGUCAUGAAGUUUGAGAUAGUUUUCCUUUUGUGGUUCUGGGGAUGAAACUCAUGGUAUGGCUCAUGCUGCAAGAGUACUCUGCAACUGAACUUCAUUCACAGCCCAUGUUUUUAAUUAUUUAUUUGCUUUUUGGUAGAGUCUCAGCUUAUAGCCCAGAAUUCAAACUAUUGACCUCUGAAUUCUGAAAGCUGAUAUUGCAGCUUAAUAUAUACGGCCCCAUAGCAGACAGAAAUAUUCAUGACAUAUCAUAUGAUACAUCUUUAAAAUGUAUGGUACUAGAGAUGGAACCCAGAGCCAUACUCAUUAAGGCAAGAGCUAGACCACAGAGCAACACCCUCAUCUCAUGCUGUUUUCAAAUGCUCAUUUACUGUCCAUGUUAUAGGGUUGACGUUUUAGAGUCUGUAGCAAUAUGGGGCAUAUGUCCAUUUAUCACUUUAUUUAUCCAUAUAAAUAAACUUAAGAAUCUUG
Non-coding RNA from Myodes glareolus (Bank vole), 2093 nucleotides. Lineage: Eukaryota; Metazoa; Chordata; Mammalia; Rodentia; Cricetidae. The record is from RefSeq and is a predicted model, not a curated record.